UUUUUAAUUAAUUAAUUUCUC
This 21-nucleotide non-coding RNA is filed under the name Caenorhabditis elegans. Lineage: Eukaryota; Metazoa; Nematoda; Chromadorea; Rhabditida; Rhabditidae. The record is from RNAcentral.